Molecule: ribosomal RNA, 492 nt
Filed under: uncultured bacterium
Lineage: Bacteria
Description: partial 16S ribosomal RNA
Rfam family: Bacterial small subunit ribosomal RNA
Source: RNAcentral
AGGGAACGCUGGCGGUAGGCCUAACACAUGCAAGUCGAACGGGAGCACAGUAAGAGCUUUCUCGGUCGGGUGGAGAGUGGCGGAGGGGUGAGGAAUACAUCGGAAUCUAGUUUUUCGGAGGGGAUAAAGUAGGGAAAUAUACGGUAAUACAGAAUACGUCAUACGGGUGGGAGCGGGGGUUAUUAGGACAGUGCGCGAUGGCAGGAGGCGAUGUCGGAUUAGCCUGUUGGCGGGGUAGAGGCAUACCAAGGGGACGAUCCGUAGCCGGACCGACCGGAUGAUCGGCCACACUGGAAUUGAGACACGGUCCAGACUCCGACGCAAGGAACCAGCGGCGAAUAUUGCGAAAUGAGCGCAGGCCGGAUCCAGCAAUACCGCAUAGGUGCAGAAGGCCUUCGGCUUCUAAAGCCCUAUUGUUAGGAACGAAAAGCCACCCAUCAGUAUGCGCCUGUUCUGACGGUACCCACAGAAUAAGCACCGGCUAACUUCGUG